RNAcentral lists this ribosomal RNA (301 nucleotides) under uncultured bacterium. Its description in RNAcentral is "partial 16S ribosomal RNA". It matches the Rfam family "Bacterial small subunit ribosomal RNA", at positions 509 to 807 of the family's 1533-position model. The record is from RNAcentral.
CAGCAGCCGCGGGAAUACGUAGGGUGCGAGCGUUAAUCGGAAUUACUGGGCGUAAAGCGUGCGCAGGCGGUUUUGUAAGACAGGCGUGAAAUCCCCGGGCUCAACCUGGGAAUGGCGCUUGUGACUGCAAAGCUAGAGUGCGGCAGAGGGGGAUGGAAUUCCGCGUGUAGCAGUGAAAUGCGUAGAUAUGCGGAGGAACACCGAUGGCGAAGGCAAUCCCCUGGGCCUGCACUGACGCUCAUGCACGAAAGCGUGGGGAGCAAACAGGAUUAGAGACCCCAGUAGUCCCUGUCUCUUAUAC